UUUGAGUAUCUAAUCAAUCUACGUCAGAACCGCCCUGCUGAACUGAUUGCAAAGUAUUUAUUUGGGUUUAUGUUUUGAAGAACAUGGUUCUUGCUGAACGGUUGUUGACAAGAAAGUCUACUUACAAUCUUGAUAUGCUUAUUCGAGAGAGGGUCUGGCAUUAGAUAUCCAAAGUUCAUUGAUGCAUUAAGAGAUUUGGAUGACCAUCUGACAAUGGUGCACCUGUUUGCUGUCUUACCUGCCGUUGAAAGAGAAAAUAUCCAAGCAGAAAGAAUCCACGACUAUAGAGGAUUCAGAAGUCGCAACUCGGCUGUAAACAAUUUGUAUGAUGUGGUGGUUGCGUUUUGAAUGUUGCUAACGGGUCAAACAGUGGAUCCAAUUUUGUUCAGAUUGUAGCUUCAUAUCGUGCAUUUCACUCGCCGCCGAUCCUCAUGGGCUCAUUCCCUUUCUAGAUCUGAAUGGACCACCACAGCCCCUCUGUUUCUUUUACCGCGGUACACGACUCAACAGUUGCCCAAGAUCUAACGAAACAGUCACAUUUGGCCGUCGAUUCUUCUCCAACGGAAGUCCAAUGUCGUUGCCACUAAACACCAACACUACCAAAGGUUGUAGGGAGUGGAAGUAUAGGGUGAUUAGAGAAGAUUGAUAUAACGUUAGUUGGCCGCAGACCAGAGAAGACUUGAUGGAGCUUAACCAAAGCUAAUGGAACAGAAGUUGUAGAGAACAGGAUGAAGUGAUAAAAACAAGAUUCUUUCAUUUAGUCUAGAAAUGAUUUGUUAUUUAGUUUUUUGUUAUGUAUUUUUUUAUGGUAGUCUAAUAUGUCUCAAUAGUUCCUUUCUACUGAUAGUUUCUUUAUAAAUUAAAUAUAUAAAUGGUUUGCCUUUUGAAAAAAAAGUAAUUAGCUUUCUUGGUAACCAACACUUCACUGCCAGUUUUCACUUCAACAUGAGUCCU
This 954-nucleotide long non-coding RNA is filed under the name Helianthus annuus (common sunflower). The record is from RNAcentral. Lineage: Eukaryota; Viridiplantae; Streptophyta; Magnoliopsida; Asterales; Asteraceae.